RNAcentral lists this long non-coding RNA (256 nucleotides) under Nicotiana benthamiana. RNAcentral describes it as "long non-coding RNA (NBEN_LNC026674)". Lineage: Eukaryota; Viridiplantae; Streptophyta; Magnoliopsida; Solanales; Solanaceae. The record is from RNAcentral.
AGCAAGUAUGAAAUUCUUUUCAGCAACAGAAAGCAAGCAGCAAUUUAUUUUCCAGCAAACAUGCAACUUCUGUCAGCAGAUUCUAACCAACUGGACAAUAGUUUAUGUAACAAGAGCACUCAAUUCAACCAGGAGAACAUUUUAGAAGUAAAAACCAGCUUUCAAGCUAUCACUUCUAAACUCGAGCACAAUCUCAACAGACACCAAUUUUCGGCAGAUUAAGCUUACCGUAUGCUCAACCAAAUCAAAAUUCAAG